This is a long non-coding RNA of Magnolia sinica, 2531 nucleotides long. RefSeq lists it as uncharacterized. The record is from RefSeq and is a predicted model, not a curated record. NCBI's taxonomy places the organism in Eukaryota, Viridiplantae, Streptophyta, Magnoliopsida, Magnoliales, Magnoliaceae. The transcript is spliced from 6 exons.
CCCUUCUUUGCCAAUCAACCAUUUAAAGCCAACCCCAACUUACUGGGAGAAAGGCUAAGAUGAUGAUGGUGAUAAUAUACUCGUGGGCCUUUGCAUGUCCAUCUUUUAGAUUCUCUAUACAAAAUGGAGAACAAUCUCUGUAUACAAAGCUAUGUAUCAUUCCUUCCCAUUGAGGCUAUAGGAUCUAUGGGUUUGGAUUUUAUAGUACCUAAAACAGUAAUAUUAGUGGAAAUAUUUCUGAAAAUGUUUGGCCAUGUCUACAGGGGCAUCCUUGUCUGCAGAUACCUAUUCAUGGCAACAUACGGAAGCUUAAGUGAAGAUAUCGACUUUCUGAUGGCUCAAUGGUACAUGCAUGGUUUUCUUAAUGCAUGUGGAUAAUAACUAGUUUUAGAGAGAAAAAAAAAAUUAAUCCAAGUUACUGUUAUGUUGCAGAGAUGCCAACUACUUGGUGGAAUUUUCAGAUACAGGUUGAACCUCCAACUCCAAUUCACCAUUGACAAACGGGAUACAAUUUUUCUCCUUCCAACAAGUACUGUUCUAUUAACGGAUCUGAGCAAACUUCCAUUCAAUACAACAGCUUGGAUUAGAGAAGCUAGACCUGGUGCCUCUCAUCCAUGUUCAAGUCUCUGAGGGAAAAGGGGGAUACAAGUCAAAGUAAAGGUUGUCUUCUUUGCAAUUGAGUGCCUAUGACUCAGUUCAUUCAUGGAUGAGGCCCACUUGACUGCAUGGUCAAAUGAUCAAGACCAGCACCCAUCUGCUUGCCCCUACCGUUGAGGAUUUUUGUACAGAAGACUCACUUGAGCUGCCUAAUUAAGCUGCAUAGUCAGAUUAUGAAGACAACACGUCUGCUCACAUCUAUCACUUGUGGGUGAUUGUACACAAAACAAGUGGAUUGGAGAAUCCUACCUGUCUGAUUUUCUCUGCUGAGUGUAGACUAUUGGCUCAAUGUUUUCAUCACCUGUUUCCUUGAAGGCUGUUACUGAGAAAGAUAGGAUUGUCCUAUUGAUUUGAUAUUUAUACAGUUGACUGUCAACCACAGGACUUAUAAGAUUGACAUACCAGAUAAUACACAUACACCCAUGAGUUGUGCAGGCCCAGUCAAGCAGUGGACCCUUAGACAUAAGGGCAAGCUCCAAAUUGAAAAUGAGUCAAUAGGUCUCUUGUUUGUUAAGGGUGGGCAAUUUUGUCUUCAAAAGGGAUUCUUCAAAUUGAGCAUAGAUGUUCCUCAUCGCUUGUGAGUUCAUCAGCUAGCUAGGCUUCAUGAAUAGCUUUUGGGAAGUAAUGGACACUUUACUAGCUGUUUGUAGCUUUAUCCAUGUGUUCAGUUAGAAAGCCAAUGUAUGUAAAACAGAUCUGCAGUAUAACUGUUAUGCUUAUUACAAGUAAUCAAACCGGUUUUAUGUGUGAUGUUUAUGUUAAGGAAUUGAUCAGCCAUUGUAUUUAUUGUUUGGUUGUGGAUAUCUCUGUUUAACCUUUUGUUCAUACUAUGAAAUUUGCUGAGUUCAGUUCAAUGUUGAUUCAAUUCUGUUUAACCUUUUGUGUCUAUUGUUGCAAUAUUCUUGUUUGUUUACAUUAUUUGCCCCUCUUUAAAUCCUGGAUUCUUUAAGAUUUGUAAGAUCUGUUCUAAUGGGAUGCUUUUCUCUUCUAGGCUAGUCUUCUUUCAGUAAUUUGAGUAGUCCUUGAAAGAUAUUCAGUGAUAAGUGGCCGAGAAGAGCAAAAAGAAAUCAUUCAUAAGGCAGGAUCACAAGAUUGAUGUAAAAUGUUUUUUCAAUGAAAGGAAUUGGGAAAUCGGUUACAACGGUUGCAAGGAAUGUUCAGUGAUGUGAAGUGUAGAUUGAGCUGUUGGACCAUACCAGGAAGUGUCAAUAAUGCAGCCCAAGUUGGAGCAGUGGAAGAAUAUGGAGAUCACUGUCUGCAGUUGCCUAAUCAUGGCAUCAUACGGGUGCUUAAGUGAAGAUCUCAACUUUCCGAUGGCUCAAUGAGAUGCCACAUACUUGGUGGAAAUUUCAAAUACAAGUCGAAUCUUGAUCUCCAAUCUCCCUAUUGAAAACCUGGCUACAAUUUUGCCCCUUUCAACAAAUACCAUUCUACAAAUGGAUUCAGUCAAAUUUCCGUCCAAUACAACAUCUUGGAUUAGAGAAGCGGUGCCUCUCAUCCCUUUCAUGUUCAAGUCUUUGAGGGAAAUGGGGGUACUAGUCAAAGUAAAGGUCGUCUUCUCUGCAAUUGAGGGUCUGUGGCUCAGCCCAUUCAUGAAUGGGGCCGACUUGACUGCAUGGUCAGAUGAUCAGGACCACCACCCAACUGCUUACCCCUUCUGUUGUGGAUGAUUGUAUAGAAGACAAACUGAUGGUAGAAUCUGAGCUACUUGACUUAAAAGCUACAUAGUCAAAUUAUCAAGACUACACAUCUGCACACACCUACCAUUUACAGGUGUUGUACAAGAAGCACACAGAUAGGAGAAUCCUAGCUUUCUGAUUUUCUCUUGAAUGUGGACUAUUGGCUGAUUUUUUUCAUCGCCCGGUUGCUGAAUG